Molecule: RNase P RNA, 373 nt
Filed under: Rheinheimera baltica
Lineage: Bacteria; Pseudomonadati; Pseudomonadota; Gammaproteobacteria; Chromatiales; Chromatiaceae
Description: RNase P RNA component class A
Rfam family: Bacterial RNase P class A
About the family: Ribonuclease P (RNase P) is a ubiquitous endoribonuclease, found in archaea, bacteria and eukarya as well as chloroplasts and mitochondria. Its best characterised activity is the generation of mature 5'-ends of tRNAs by cleaving the 5'-leader elements of precursor-tRNAs. Cellular RNase Ps are ribonucleoproteins.
Source: RNAcentral
UGAGUCGGCCAAGACAAUCGCUGCCUGUGAAAACAGGGGGAGGAAAGUCCGGGCUCCACAGGGCAGGGUGCCAGGUAACGCCUGGGGGGCGUGAGCCUACGACCAGUGCAACAGAGAGCAAACCGCCGAUGGCCCGUACGCAAGUUCGGGAUCAGGUAAGGGUGAAAGGGUGCGGUAAGAGCGCACCGCACGGCUGGCAACAGUUCGUGGCACGGUAAACUCCACCCGGAGCAAGAUCAAAUAGGCCCCCUUUGGCGCGGCCCGCGUUGGGGGCGGGUAGAUUGCUUGAGGCUUAAGGUGACUUAAGUCCUAGAGGAAUGAUUGUCACUCUGGCAACAGAGCACAGAACCCGGCUUAACGGCCGGCUCACACU